This is a non-coding RNA of Caenorhabditis elegans, 21 nucleotides long. NCBI's taxonomy places the organism in Eukaryota, Metazoa, Nematoda, Chromadorea, Rhabditida, Rhabditidae. The record is from Ensembl.
UUAUACAGUCCGUUUGUGAAA